RNAcentral lists this ribosomal RNA (301 nucleotides) under uncultured bacterium. RNAcentral describes it as "partial 16S ribosomal RNA". It matches the Rfam family "Bacterial small subunit ribosomal RNA", at positions 509 to 808 of the family's 1533-position model. The record is from RNAcentral.
CAGUCGCCCGGUAAAACGGAGGGGGCUAGCGUUGUUCGGAAUUACUGGGCGUAAAGCGCACGUAGGCGGCUUGGUAAGUUAGAGGUGAAAGCCCGGAGCUCAACUCCGGAAUUGCCUUUAAGACUGCCGAGCUAGUAGGUGAGAGAGGUAAGUGGAAUUCCGAGUGUAGAGGUGAAAUUCGUAGAUAUUCGGAAGAACACCAGUGGCGAAGGCGGCUUACUGGCUCAUUCUAGACGCUGAGGUGCAAAAGCGUGGGGAGCAAACAGGAUUAGAUACCCCAGUAGUCCCUGUCUCUUAUACA